AACGCAUCUUGCACUCCUUGGUAUUCUGAGGAGUAUGCCUGUUUGAGUAUCAUUAAACUAUCAACUGUGCCAACUUUUAUAUUGGAUCACAGAUUGGACAAUGGGAGGUAUUAUAUUUGCAGGCUUUACAAAGUCAGCUCUCCUGAAAUGCAUUAGCAGUUCCUGUAUUGGUUAUUGGUUCUUGGGUGUGUGAUAAUAUUUCUUAUACCCUUUGAUCGAAUGUAUCUGCUUCCAAUGAUUGACUUGAAUUGAUCUUGAUCUCAAAUCAGGUAGGAUUACCCGCUGAACUUAA
This 292-nucleotide unclassified non-coding RNA is filed under the name uncultured Agaricales. Its description in RNAcentral is "sequence contains 5.8S rRNA gene, ITS2, 28S rRNA gene". Lineage: Eukaryota; Fungi; Basidiomycota; Agaricomycetes; Agaricales. The record is from RNAcentral.